Molecule: ribosomal RNA, 464 nt
Filed under: uncultured bacterium
Lineage: Bacteria
Description: bacterial SSU rRNA
Rfam family: Bacterial small subunit ribosomal RNA
Source: RNAcentral
CCAGACUCCUACGGGAGGCAGCAGUGAGGAAUAUUGGUCAAUGGGCGAGAGCCUGAACCAGCCAAGUCGCGUGAGGGAAGACGGUCCUAUGGAUUGUAAACCUCUUUUGUCGGGGAGCAAAAAGGCCUCGUGAGGCCACAAGUGAGAGUACCCGAAGAAAAAGCAUCGGCUAACUCCGUGCCAGCAGCCGCGGUAAUACGGAGGAUGCGAGCGUUAUCCGGAUUUAUUGGGUUUAAAGGGUGCGUAGGCGGACAGUCAAGUCAGCGGUAAAAAUGCGGUGCUCAACGCCGUACAGCCGUUGAAACUGGCAGUCUUGAGUGGGCGAGAAGUAUGCGGAAUGCGUGGUGUAGCGGUGAAAUGCAUAGAUAUCACGCAGAACUCCGAUUGCGAAGGCAGCUUACUAAACUAUAACUGACACUGAAGCACGAAAGCGUGGGGAUCAAACAGGAUUAGAUACCCUCGUA